Molecule: RNA transcript, 4758 nt
Organism: Meriones unguiculatus (Mongolian gerbil)
Lineage: Eukaryota; Metazoa; Chordata; Mammalia; Rodentia; Muridae
Gene: Suclg2
Gene name: succinate-CoA ligase GDP-forming subunit beta
Exons: 11
Source: RefSeq, a predicted model, not a curated record
CCUCGCUGAAGGUUCCUGGUUAAGAUGGCGUCCCCGGUGGCCAUCGCGGCGCAGGUCGGGAAGCUUCUGCGAGGUCGAGCGCUGCGGCCGCCGCUCCUGGCGGUCAGGUCCCAGGCUGGUCACUUAACCCCCAGAAGAUGGCUGAACCUGCAGGAAUACCAGAGCAAGAAGCUCAUGUCAGAGCACGGGGUGAGAGUUCAGAGGUUCUUUGUCGCCAACACCGCGAAGGAGGCUCUGGAGGCAGCGAAGAGACUGAAUGCAAAGGAAAUUGUUUUAAAAGCCCAGAUCUUAGCUGGUGGACGAGGAAAAGGUGUCUUCAAUAGUGGUUUGAAAGGAGGUGUUCAUUUAACAAAAGACCCGAAAGUGGUGGGACAGCUGGCUCAACAGAUGAUUGGGUAUAAUCUAACAACGAAGCAAACUCCGAAAGAAGGUGUGAAGGUUAACAAGGUGAUGGUUGCUGAAGCCCUGGAUAUUUCUAGAGAAACUUACUUGGCCAUUUUGAUGGACCGGUCCUACAAUGGUCCCGUGAUAGUGGGCAGUCCCCAGGGAGGCGUUGAUAUCGAAGAAGUGGCAGCUUCUAACCCAGAACUCAUCUUUAAGGAGCAGAUUGACAUCUUUGAAGGCAUAAAGGAUAGCCAGGCCCAGCGCAUGGCGGAAAACCUGGGCUUCCGUGGGCUUUUGAAAAACCAGGCUGCAGAUCAGAUUAAAAAGCUGUACCAUCUCUUCCUGAAGAUUGACGCCACUCAGGUGGAAGUGAAUCCCUUUGGUGAAACUCCGGAAGGACAAGUUGUCUGUUUUGAUGCCAAGAUAAACUUUGAUGACAACGCUGAAUUCCGACAAAAAGACAUAUUUGCUAUGGACGACAAAUCAGAGAAUGAACCCAUUGAAAACGAAGCUGCCAGAUAUGACCUCAAGUACAUUGGGCUAGAUGGGAACAUUGCCUGCUUUGUGAAUGGUGCUGGAUUGGCCAUGGCUACUUGUGACAUCAUUUUCCUGAAUGGAGGGAAGCCAGCUAACUUCUUGGACCUCGGAGGUGGAGUAAAGGAAUCCCAAGUCUACCAAGCUUUCAAGCUGCUCACAUCUGAUCCAAAGAUGGGGACCAUACAGAAAACCACAGCCAGUCAAUCUGCAAGCGUCACCAACAUGACGGCCUAAACAUGGACUGAACAAGAAAAACAGACAUGCCAGAGUGGACGGGGAAAACCUUCAAACCUCAGCCCUAUACAAAAACUACCGUUUUUGAGUCGGGGGGGGAAUCUUUCCCAGGGAGGAACACUCCAAUACCAAAGGAUCAGUCUUGUAAACAUGCAAACAAGUAGCAUACACUUAGCAGGUUUUAUUUAGGGAUAUAUAAGUAAGCAUAUACCUAUAGGCACAUGGCAACAAUUAAUGAAAAGGGGGGCAUAAAUUUGAAAGAGAUCAAUGAGGGCUAUAUGGAAGAUUUUAGAGGAAGGAAAAGGGAAAAAAUGAUAUAACUAUACACAUUUAAAAAAAAAUAGCCCCUGGAAUAAGGAGAGCACAGUGAAUUGGGGCCAGGCUGAGCGUGGUGUACACGCUGAGCAGAGGCGUGGGACUGUGAGCAGUGGUGAUGGGAGCAUCAGGUUUGGACGAGGUGGACACUGGUGUGCUAAGGACCACCUAGAGACCAGAAGGAUAGCCACAAGCCCUCCUAGGUAGGUCGAGGAGUUAGGAAAUAAGCACAAGUCUUUCCUUUAGGAUAGCAUUUCCAGGGUGCUGGGGUGGGAUAUAGUGAUUGUUGAAUACUCUGGCCGAUUAACUACAGCAACUGUGCUGCCCAGGUCCAGGGUACCUAAAAUCUCUGAUAUGCCUUGGAGCAAGUUUGCAAGUCUCAUGAGCUGGAAUCUGUGUCCUGACCAGCUGAACGUUCUCUGCCCAGUGGAUUCAGCUUCUCUUUGUGUUUAAGAUUAGUUACAGUAUAAUAUUGAAAUAUUUGAGGAAGUUCAUUCUCCAAUUUUUUCAGUUCUUGAAAAGCUCAACAAGAUUUCCUGUUGCUAAUUGGGCUUUCACACUCAUUUUGGCUCACCCUCAGUGAUAAAAAUCUGUCUGGUUGGAUUUAAUAAUACUGCUGCACUUUUUCUAGUUAGUCUACUGUUAUCGUCAAUUAAUGCGAAUUAAUACAUUUUUCUUGUUCAUGGUGAUAAUAUCUUUUCAAAUAAAGUAUUUAAGACUUAAAGUGUGCAGUAAAUACUAAAGAUACAGUAGUGUAGGGGAUUUGUUCAGUUGCUAUAGGAAAAUCUAAUUUUUCCCCAAAAUGAAAUGAGUCACGCUCGGCAGCAUGAAUAUUGGGUUGGGCUUUGGGGCGCCUCGGGCAGUUCACCAUGUGGCGAGUGCUCCCUCUUCUUCCAAAGCCCCUGAAAGUCAAUGUCCAGAUGAAGCAUGCUCGCUUUCCCGUGUCUGUUAGGUAGCAUCACUCCUUGUCUUUGGAGAACUCCAACAUGCUGGGGGGAAUAGACUUACAUUCCACAGGUAAAAUGGAUAAAGAAAUGUAACCAGAGUGGGCUCCCAAACAGGCCUUGGCAUGGGCUGGAUUUUGAUGGGUCACAUUUACUUUUUAUUUGUAGGGUUUCUCAAUAGAAUUUCGAGAACACCUCCAUAAAACAAAUGUACAACAAUGCAUUUCUGUAAAAACACACAAAAAUACCCAUGUUAAACAGGGUUUCUUUGUUGUAUGCCAUACAGUGCUCCUGUCACACAGCAAUGGAAUUUUACUUGUUUUUUGUUUGGGGUGUUUUGUUUUGUUUUGUUUCCCCAAUACUAGAAUCAGUAACAAAGACAGGAUAACUAGAGUAUACUGAACCCCGUUGUAUACAACUAUGCUGUAUAAGAGUGCUGCAUUCUGACACGUAGUUUUAACAGUUUAUAAGUUGGUCCUCUGCAGGUGAUUCCAUAUCAAGAUUCGGUCUCCAUAUCAAGAUUCAGUCGGCUUACGGGGAAAACUGCUGCUCUAAACUAUAAGCACAUCCAGGCCAGCGGUAUAAGAUUUUGUAGCAAACUGCCCUCCAGUGCCUGCCAUGCAGCAAUUGCUCAAUGAACAUUGAAAAGUCGGAAGAGGAAAACAAACCUCUACUUCUCUGCACUUAUAAAAUUGUAUUUUUUUCUAUAUUCAUUCAACCAGUUGCUUUUUUUGUAAUGACUUGAUAACAUUUACUCUCAUUGUUGGGAUUCACUUUGAAGUGAAUUUUGCAUUUAAUUGUGGUAUUUUAUGGCACUUGCAGUAUUAUUACAUUUGGGAAAUGAGGUAGAAAUCCUACAGGCAAGUAAGUAAAAUGAUUUUUUUAAAAAUUAACUCAGUUUUAUCGACCCUGCAUUUUAGCAUGCAGUUGAGAGUACUUCCUGUUAGCAUCCACAUCCUGAGAACACACAUUAAAUAAAACUAGCCAACCAGAGAACAAUGCAUAUUCAGCAGCUAAUUGCUAGUGAUGAUUGUUUUUUAACCUGUUUCAAAAAAAUAAAAGGAAUACUUAGCCUGUUAAUAGAGUUUUGAGGGUAAAGGGUAAAGGCCCUGCUUCAGGAGCUCAGCAGUCUAAGCUCAGUUACUCAUCCCAGUAGACUAAUUAAGCAACUAGUGGGGCUGAGGAAAUGGCUCCAUGGGUAAAGUGUUUGCUGUGCAAGGAUGAGGACCUGAACUUGGAUCCCAGCUGCAUACAAAGCUGUGCUUGGUGCUGGUGAUCCCUGUGCUAGGAGGAUCCUAGGGGCUCCUUGGCAAACCAUUCUCCCACAGGAUGAGCUCUGGGUUCAGUGAGAGACUGUCUCCAAACUAAAACAGAAAGUACUGAAGAAAGAUACCCGAAGACAACCUCUGGCCUCCACACAUGCACACCCAGGCACAUGUUCCUACACACACUAAUGCUCACAUGUGUAUAUACCAUGCUCACAUCACACACACACACAUACAGCUCAUAAUGAUGCAAAGAGGACAAAGGAUUUGAGAAGUUGAACAAAAACAGGGUCUAGUGACCCAAAAUUCAUCUUCCUGGUACUGAGAUGAGGUUUACGUUUGAAAAGAAGUCAGGUGCUAUGCAUGAUUGAGGAGAUGUAAGCUACCCAUCAUUGUCUCCACUCAUGCUCUGGAAGGUGAUCCAGUUAUUAAACUUCUAUCAAUCACUAGGUGCAGCUGUUGUGUGAGCUGUUGUGUCAUUGUCUGAAUGACCAGAUGGGCAGGUGGGAGAGCAAUGUCUGAUAAGCCAGGCUCUGCUCCUCCUGAAAUCACGGUGGCUCAAGAGGAACAGGCUCAAUGUCUUUGGAUAUAAACCAAAGACAUUGGUUUAUAUCUGUAUAUUUAGCCAAAGUACAGGUACAAAUUCAGGGAGAGACUCCAGGCUAUCUUCCUGCUAUUAGUGACUUUGUGAACUCAAGUGAGGAGUUGACAAUUUUUAGCCAAAGCCAGCUUCUGUAAACCUGUGUGAAGCCUUUAUUUUUUCCAUAUGAAUAAUAUGAAUAAUUACAUAAACUUUUCCAUCGCUUUAAAAAUCCAUCAAUGGACAUGUGUGAUUAAUAGAUAAUCUGGGAUUAAUAAAUUUUCAUUGCACAUAUUUCAGAUGAGUUUUGCUUAAAAUUUGCUUGACUAUUUUAAAUGCCAUGUUCUGGUAACCAACAUACUUUAAGUAUGUGACAUUGUGCUGUCUAAGAGACCUGCACAUACAUGUCACCAGGUUAUUUACAAUUACAAUUAGAGGGAAGUCCACAAUCUGGGUUUGUAUUUUUAUUUUGUCUGGAUUAAAACUGAGAAAUGAUUAA